This 463-nucleotide ribosomal RNA is filed under the name uncultured bacterium. RNAcentral's name for it is "bacterial SSU rRNA". It matches the Rfam family "Bacterial small subunit ribosomal RNA", at positions 331 to 792 of the family's 1533-position model. The record is from RNAcentral.
CAAGACUCCUACGGGAGGCAGCAGUGAGGAAUAUUGGUCAAUGGGCGCGAGCCUGAACCAGCCAAGUCGCGUGAGGGAAGACGGUCCUAUGGAUUGUAAACCUCUUUUGUCGGGGAGCAAAAGACGCCACGUGUGGCGUUCCGAGAGUACCCGAAGAAAAAGCAUCGGCUAACUCCGUGCCAGCAGCCGCGGUAAUACGGAGGAUGCGAGCGUUAUCCGGAUUUAUUGGGUUUAAAGGGUGCGCAGGCGGAAUGUCAAGUCAGCGGUAAAAUUUCGGGGCUCAACCCCGUCGUGCCGUUGAAACUGGCGUUCUUGAGUGAGCGAGAAGUAUGCGGAAUGCGUGGUGUAGCGGUGAAAUGCAUAGAUAUCACGCAGAACCCCGAUUGCGAAGGCAGCCUUCCGGCGCCCUACUGACGCUGAGGCACGAAAGUGCGGGGAUCGAACAGGAUUAGAUACCCCUGUA